UUGUUGUUGACUGCCCUUCUGCCUACAACAUCAUCCUUGGCCGCACCGCCCUAAAUGCUUUCCAGGCUAUCACAUCCACUUACUACCUUGCCAUCAAGUUCCCCACCGAUCUUGGGGUCGGGACAGUAAGGGGAGAGCAGACCGUGGCCAAAGAAUGUUAUGUCACCUCACUUAAAGGAGUCAAGCUGGUUAGGGGGGAACCGGUGGAAGAACUUGUCGAGGUCCUCAUCGAUCCCACCAACCCAGCAAAAACUACCAAGAUCGGCAGCCAACUAUCCACCCAAGCAAAAGCCGACCUUACCGCCCUCCUGAUAGAGCACAAAGAUGUAUUUUCCUGGACCCACUCCGAUAUG
RNAcentral lists this unclassified non-coding RNA (353 nucleotides) under uncultured bacterium. Its description in RNAcentral is "contains 16S-23S intergenic spacer region". The record is from RNAcentral.